ACCUUUAGCUAAUUAAGUAUAAUUUUGAAGAAGUUAAGAUAUAAUAGGUA
This 50-nucleotide transfer RNA is filed under the name Hygrobates longiporus. Its description in RNAcentral is "tRNA-Phe". The record is from RNAcentral. Lineage: Eukaryota; Metazoa; Arthropoda; Arachnida; Trombidiformes; Hygrobatidae.